AUUCUCUCAAAACUCACUCAUGCGUCACUCUCUCUCUCUCUCACUCUCACUCUCUUCUCUCUCUCUCUCUAGCUAGUGAAUUCUCCAAUUUUCGGUCAUUCUUCAUCCCCAAUUCAAUUCUCCACAUACUCAAGCAAUUGAAUUUCAAUCCAACAAGGAGAUUAGCUCCAUUUUCAAUUUCACCUAUUUCAUACGAGGAUUUAGCUUGAGGUUCAAUUUCAUUUGAGCAUAAGGCCACUCACGUACACGCUUCUGGACGAGAUCUGCUUAUUCAUUUCAUUUCAUUUCAUAUGUGGGUGAUACACAUCUUAGAUUCUUAAUUGAAGAGCUUAUAUGUUGUUUUGCGCCAGAUUUGAACUCUUAUGCGGGCGAACUUUUUGUUUUUUCACUAGUUUCCGAUAAGCUGAUAUUUGCACUGCUGCUGCUUUUAAUUGAUGACCUGCUUUGUUUACUUCCGGUUUAUUGAUUUAGAUUUAAUUAAUUACAUUUUAAAGAUCUUCCAUGCUAGCUAUUUUUAUUUUGCAAUUUUUUCUUCCAAAUAGGGUCUAGUGCGUAUUAGGAUAUGUCAAUUAGGUAUAUGGCUCCCCCAAUUUGAUUGCCUAGAUCAGGUUUAUGUGAAUUUUCUUCUAACUGAUUUAUUAGACUUAGAUGUCAGGUCUCUGCUCAAAGAUAGAAGAUAUUUCAUACUAUAGGUUGUGUGAUGUUGUGAUGAGGUUUUAAUUUCAGCGUGCGUAUGUAUGUUUGAUAACAAAUACAGAGUGGCCAACAACACGAAGCUGCCUGCAACAUACCACUCUAGUAAUUAAUUUACCAGAUGCUGCUGCUGCUAAUUAUAUUCUUGUUUUAAUUUUUGUUUUAUUGUAUAAAAAAAUGAUGAGUUGGGAAUAAAACAGAGUGGCAUAAUCUCAUAAUUUGAUAGUUUAGUAGUUCACAAGAUUUUGUAAUAUUUUUAUCUAGAUUUUGCGUACAUACCAGCACGAUGGAUUGCUUCUAAAACUCUUAGUGUAUUUGCAUAAAUAAAUGCACAAUUGCUCUGUACGUAUAUGGAACCUCCACCUACUCUGUUGCUAUUUUCCUUAAAACUCUGUUUUUUUUUCUCCUUUAUAUUUGUAGCUUAAGGAUUCAAAGAUACCAAAGGUCGAAGCAUUUAAAGUUUCGGGAAAAAGCUGCAAUAAUUUCCUCUUGAGACAGGUAUGCUUCUCCAUCAUUGCUCGUACUUUAUGUGAAUAUAUAUUUGCUCGUACUUUAUGUGAUUGUAGUCUUCCAUUUGGUUGGUGAUGUUGGUAGUUCUAUCUCUAUUAUUAGGAUGCAUAGAAAUUGACAUCUAGCAAGAAAUUCUAAUCGAUUGCCUUAUUUUAAUAAUCAUUUAGAUGGCACCUAGCAAGAAAUGGAUGAAUUUUGUGAAUGCUAGACCCUUAAGGAGAUGCUAGACCCUUAAGGAGUGAUAGAGAUGUUUUGGCUAUGCUGAUACGACAUGAGGAUGUUCCUUGCAUCAAUGUUCAUAUAUAUGAGGAUCCUACUGCUGCGCCAUUAAGUUUCAAGCUGCCACAAGACAAUCCAAUGCUUGGUAUAAUUGUCUUUUGUCUUUCAUUGUGUAUUAGUUCUUGUUGGAUUUGAUUAUAUUCAUUUGGUGAUCUUAAUCUUUUAUAGGUUCGCAAGUCUCGUCAAAUCUUAGAGUAACAAAUGUUAAAAUAGUGGGUGAUCUCAAGGCAAAUAAAAAGCCAAUAACAGAUUGUUGGAUUUGAUUAUAUUCUUGUGAAAGCCAAUAGUUCUCUCAGUUCAUUGCUUUUGUCUAGUUAAUUAUUAACUUAAAUUCUCUUUUCGCAGAAUAAAUUUCUUCAUUUGCCAUCCAAGUGUAACAGAGUAACUCUUAGACAGGUUUCUUUCUUUCUUUCUAUUGCAUUUUCUCUUUAAUUAGAUCAUAUUUGUUUUGAAUUUUGGUUAACUUCUCUUUAUAUGAUAUUAGAAAACUGAGAAGCAAUUGUCUUAUACAUUCGAAUAGACUCUUAGAAAACUUAACUCUGUUUGCAGGUUUUACUUUUCUACUAUCCAUUUAUGUCGUUGAAACCUUGAUCGAAGCUUGGGAAACAGGAAAAGAAAAAACGAAGUGAUAUCUUAGCUUGAGAUAGAGAUCUUCAUUCUGCUGGCUAAUAUGUAGGCUUAAUAAAUGUUUUAUUUUCCUAAAGUAGACCCUGUGUAGUUGGAAUCUGUUUAUAUUCUUAACAAGUGAUAUCUUUCACGUUCACUUUUGUAUAUCCAACAUCUAGUUUUGUAUAUUUCAGCUAAUUGAAAGCUGCAANNNNN
This 2304-nucleotide long non-coding RNA is filed under the name Salvia miltiorrhiza (redroot sage). Its description in RNAcentral is "long non-coding RNA (SMIL_LNC005837)". The record is from RNAcentral. Lineage: Eukaryota; Viridiplantae; Streptophyta; Magnoliopsida; Lamiales; Lamiaceae.